Molecule: non-coding RNA, 1026 nt
Organism: Podarcis lilfordi (Lilford's wall lizard)
Lineage: Eukaryota; Metazoa; Chordata; Lepidosauria; Squamata; Lacertidae
Source: the annotation of a GenBank genome assembly
ACCGAUGACAACAGGUUAUCAGGUAGAUGACACUGAAGAAGCAUUUUCUGACACUACACUGUACAGGAGUGUGCUAGGCAAGCUAAACUUCAUUGCCAGAUGUUCAAGACCAGACAUUGCUGUUAGCUGUAAUUUGCUAAGCAGACAAGUCAACAAUCCUAGUGUCAAGGAUUGGAAAGCUCUGAAACGCAUAGCGCGGUAUUUGAAAGGCACUAUGCAUUACAGACUGAGAUUUAACAAUCAGAAGUCUGGUGGUCUUGAGAUAUUUGCAGAUGCAAGUUUUGGAAGUGACGCUACAGACAGGAAAAGUACGUCUGGAGUUUGCUACAUGUACAAUCAGAGUCUGUUUGAUUGGUCAUGCAAGAAGCAAACAACAGUUAGCUUAAGUACUUGUGAAGCUGAACUGAAUGCACUGUCUUAUUCACUUAAGGAUUGUGAAUGGUUAGUACAAUUGUGCAAAGAUAUGAAAAUUCCUGUCAAAUGUCCAAUCCAGGUUUACCAGGACAACAAAGCAUGUUUGGCUUUGCUGAAGUCUGAAGGUUGUAAGCAAAGCACAAAGCACUUGCAAUUAAAGUUGCAGCAUGCUAGGGAAUGUAUUCAGAAGGGACUCGUAACGGUGUCCUAUAUGCCAGGUAAUGAAAUUCCUGCUGAUGUAUUGUCCAAGAUUGUAUCAAGGGAUCAACACUGUACCUAUGUGCAGAAGUUGGGUUUGUACUGAUAUUGUACUAACACGCUGCCCAGUGAUGUUCACAGAAAGGGGGAGGAUGUUGGUUUCUAUUUCCCUCACUGAGCAGCAACUGCAGUCACAAGGCAUUGUUUUGCAUUCCACAGUCAGAGGUACUGUUGGAGUUUCUCACGGGAAAGGGAGACUGGAUGUGACGUACACUGGUUUCCUGUUUUUCACUGUCUGUGUGAUUCUCUCCAAGCUGUCGAGGAGAGAGGAUGCAUUUUUCUGCUCUUGCAGAGGCAAGAUGUCUUUCUGUAAUAUACCAGCUUUGAACUGUAAAUAAAGCAAUUUAGAGUAUG